RNAcentral lists this microRNA precursor (88 nucleotides) under Anas platyrhynchos (mallard). Its description in RNAcentral is "mir-204 microRNA precursor family". It matches the Rfam family "mir-204 microRNA precursor family". The record is from Rfam by way of RNAcentral. Lineage: Eukaryota; Metazoa; Chordata; Aves; Anseriformes; Anatidae. RNAcentral also lists the same sequence under 6 other names.
CUGUGACCUGUGGGCUUCCCUUUGUCAUCCUAUGCCUGGAGAUCACAGUGAGGCAGGGACAGCAAAGGGAUGCUCAGCUGUCGUCUCU